GCGGACGUGGCGCAAUUGGCUAGACGCACAGGACUGAGGCUCCUGGGAGAUUUUCUCCAUGUGGGUUCGAGUCCCACCGUCCGCA
This 85-nucleotide transfer RNA is filed under the name bacterium. RNAcentral's name for it is "tRNA-Leu". It matches the Rfam family "tRNA". From Rfam's summary of the family: Transfer RNA (tRNA) molecules are approximately 80 nucleotides in length. The record is from RNAcentral.